Molecule: RNase P RNA, 329 nt
Filed under: Planctomycetota bacterium
Lineage: Bacteria; Pseudomonadati; Planctomycetota
Description: Planctomycetes bacterium (sediment metagenome) partial RNase P RNA component class A
Rfam family: Bacterial RNase P class A
About the family: Ribonuclease P (RNase P) is a ubiquitous endoribonuclease, found in archaea, bacteria and eukarya as well as chloroplasts and mitochondria.
Source: RNAcentral
GGAGUGGACUGGACGGCCGCUGGCCGCGCGUACUAUGGCCGCCAUAUCGGCCCCAUGACCGCUGCGGCCGGAGGAAAGUCCGGGCGCCGCAGGACAGGGUGGUGGGUAACGCCCACCGACCGCGAGGUCAGGGAAAGUGCAACAGAAAGCAGACCGCCACGCGGCAGCCUUGGCCGAGGGACUUCCCGCGGCUGGGCGGCCGCGGGGUAAGGGUGAAACGGUGAGGUAAGAGCUCACCAGCAGGCCGGGUGACCGGCCUGGCUCGGCAAACCCCACCCGGAGCAAGGUCAAAUAGGGAGCAGCCCAACCGCUACGGCACCGUUUGCUGC